Oryzias javanicus (javanese ricefish) is the source of this 1895-nucleotide long non-coding RNA. The record is from Ensembl. NCBI's taxonomy places the organism in Eukaryota, Metazoa, Chordata, Actinopteri, Beloniformes, Adrianichthyidae.
AUGCCCAGCACCCGGAAAAUACAUAUAAUCGGUUUUAUAACUUCAAAUAUUCAUGCAAAAACAAUACUUACAUUUAAAUGUAAACUUCUGUGCUUCAGAGCACAUCCACGUGAAAAAAUGUGUUUGUCCUCCACAGCACGACGCAGAUCACCUUACCAGCGGAGGGAUAGUCCCUACAUCUCUUCCUUAAAAAAACUUUUGGACACCACUACAGCUUCAAAAGCCACUACAAUUGGAGCAAUGGUUGCCGAGGUCGGUGUAAACGUAGUUUUAGAGAGAAGACGGUCAACCCAUUGAGCUCCCCGUUUAAUGAACACAAAAAACCCAACAAGAUGUUUGAUCCCAGAGUCUCUGCGGCCCCCAUCAUGAAACUCCUCCAAGAGGAACACAUCUAGAUCCUUUUUAUGAAGAUGAACAAGUGUUGAGAACUCAUUUUGAGUGCCUGAAGAAACUGUCAAGGAAGCCUAAACCUCUAGACCACAAAAAAAAAACCCACUGAACUCUUUUAGCUGAACGAUCUACCCUGAGGAACACCUCCAGAUGUCUCCAAAUACUUUUCCCUGGAACGCUGUGGUCUCGUCAGGUUUCCCUCAAUGAAUCUUGAGAGCAUAAAAAGCCAUUAGAAAACCUCUCAACCGCCUUUCUUACCCAGCAUGAAAACCCUUCAAUAUGUUCAAGGGCUUUGGAGCAGCGUCUGCACCCAGUUGGUCUUCCAAGUCAUCUAACCCUGCUUUGGAGAUGCUUUUUUUUUUUGUUCCCCAUGGAGAAAGAAUUUUGCAGCUUCUGGACCUCUUGAAGGUAGAGACCCUGAACCCCAAAGACCCUUCGGUUUCCUGUCGGCACAUCCACAGACUUCUCUAUCACAAAGGUCCUGCAGCGGUGGACUGGGUCUUCUCUCCACAGCAGGAUGCUUUUUGAUUCAGGUAUCAAGGGAACGUCGCUCCAGGCCGUUCCCUCCAAGAGCUGCAUGAACCACAGGGUGAACGCCCCCCCGUUUUUAGAGCAAAGUUUGCCUUUCGUUGCCUCACAGAACGAGCUAAAGUAGCCGACGCCGGUUCAGCUGGGACGGCGCUGAUCACCUCCUCAUUUGCAUAAAGCUGUAGCUACUAUUAGACUGUUUUCUUUACAAUGUAGCCUUGAGAAUCUACUGCUAUGGUAUAAACUAUGCAUUUAUUCCACGGUGUGUGCGUGUUGUUAUUCUGCUGUCAUCAUAUGAGGGGAAACAGGCGGAGAUCUGGUGGCGGAGCUGCUCCGGAUGACGUCAAUCCCACACGUUCCUGCUUUUAUAGAAACGACCUCUUUUUCCUGCAGCCCCUGUGAUUCCAGCUGCAGCACGAGCAGCUGCUCAGGCCUUCCGUCUGACCUGUGUGCAGACGGUUAGUACAUGCUCUUCUGGCAUUUUUCUCCAAUCAUCUUUUAAUCUGUAAAAAGACUUCCCAGUGGUCUUUAAUUUUUUAUUAUGCCCUUUUUUUUUGGCUAAAUUUUAAAAAAAAAAUCAUUUUUUAGGACAUAGUUUCUUGCAGAGUGGCAGGGGUCGUAAGCCUUCCCUGACUUCCCGACAUCCAUCUGUUUACAUUCUCUCCUGCUAGCUUACAGCCCCUCACAACCUCAACCCAACAUUAGCGGUGCAAGAAAAAUGGAAAGACAGCUUUGAUCCAGAUUCCAGCUCCGACCAUGAAAACAAAGACGUUCACGGAUCUAUUUGUCUACAAGUCGAUGCAUCAGAAUAGAGCUGAGAUAACUGCAUUAUUACCUGGAGUAAAUAAAUACUCAGAAAAGCUAUUUUAAACUGAAUAUCCUAUACAUAUAUGUCAUCUACCUCAAACUACCUCAACACGUCCGCGACUGCACCAAACUUUCUUCAUUUAAGAAAUCUCUUAAAACUCUGCUUAUUA